RNAcentral lists this ribosomal RNA (431 nucleotides) under uncultured bacterium. RNAcentral's name for it is "bacterial SSU rRNA". It matches the Rfam family "Bacterial small subunit ribosomal RNA", at positions 354 to 777 of the family's 1533-position model. The record is from RNAcentral.
GUGGGGAAUAUUGCACAAUGGGCGCAAGCCUGAUGCAGCCAUGCCGCGUGUAUGAAGAAGGCCUUCGGGUUGUAAAGUACUUUCAGCGGGGAGGAAGGGUAAAUGGUUAAUAACCAUUUACAUUGACGUUACCCGCAGAAGAAGCACCGGCUAACUCCGUGCCAGCAGCCGCGGUAAUACGGAGGGUGCAAGCGUUAAUCGGAAUUACUGGGCGUAAAGCGCACGCAGGCGGUCUGUCAAGUCGGAUGUGAAAUCCCCGGGCUCAACCUGGGAACUGCAUUCGAAACUGGCAGGCUUGAGUCUUGUAGAGGGGGGUAGAAUUCCAGGUGUAGCGGUGAAAUGCGUAGAGAUCUGGAGGAAUACCGGUGGCGAAGGCGGCCCCCUGGACAAAGACUGACGCUCAGGUGCGAAAGCGUGGGGAGCAAACAGGA